RNAcentral lists this ribosomal RNA (252 nucleotides) under uncultured bacterium. Its description in RNAcentral is "partial 16S ribosomal RNA". It matches the Rfam family "Bacterial small subunit ribosomal RNA", at positions 57 to 305 of the family's 1533-position model. The record is from RNAcentral.
GCAAGUCGAACGGUAACAGGCGAGUGCUUGCACUUGCGCUGACGAGUGGCGGACGGGUGAGUAACGCGUAGGAAUCUACCUGGUAGUGGGGGACAACUUGGGGAAACUCAAGCUAAUACCGCAUACGCCCUAUGGGGGAAAGCGUGGGAUCUUCGGACCACGCGCUAUCAGAUGAGCCUGCGUUAGAUUAGCUAGUUGGUGAGGUAAAGGCUCACCAAGGCGACGAUCUAUAGCUGGUCUGAGAGGAUGAUC